UACAGAGGUGGCAAGCGUUGUUCGGAAUCACUGGGCGUAAAGCGCACGUAGGCGGAUUGCUAAGUCAGGGGUGAAAUCCUGGAGCUCAACUCCAGAACUGCCUUUGAUACUGGCGACCUUGAGUCCGGGAGAGGUGAGUGGAACUGCGAGUGUAGAGGUGAAAUUCGUAGAUAUUCGCAAGAACACCAGUGGCGAAGGCGGCUCACUGGCCCGGUACUGACGCUGAGGUGCGAAAGCGUGGGGAGCGAACAGG
This 253-nucleotide ribosomal RNA is filed under the name uncultured bacterium. RNAcentral describes it as "partial 16S ribosomal RNA". It matches the Rfam family "Bacterial small subunit ribosomal RNA", at positions 524 to 776 of the family's 1533-position model. The record is from RNAcentral.